CUACGGGAGGCUGCAGUGGGGAAUAUUGCACAAUGGACGAAAGUCUGAUGCAGCAACGCCGCGUGGAGGAUGACACAUUUCGGUGCGUAAACUCCUUUUAUAUAGGAAGAUAAUGACGGUACUAUAUGAAUAAGCACCGGCUAACUCCGUGCCAGCAGCCGCGGUAAUACGGAGGGUGCAAGCGUUACUCGGAAUCACUGGGCGUAAAGAGCGUGUAGGCGGGUAGUUAAGUCAGAAGUGAAAUCCAAUAGCUCAACUAUUGAACUGCUUUCGAAACUGAUUACCUAGAAUAUGGGAGAGGUAGAUGGAAUUUCUGGUGUAGGGGUAAAAUCCGUAGAGAUCAGAAGGAAUACCGAUUGCGAAGGCGAUCUACUGGAACAUUAUUGACGCUGAGACGCGAAAGCGUGGGGAGCAAACAGGAUUAGAUACCCCGGUAGUC
This 439-nucleotide ribosomal RNA is filed under the name uncultured bacterium. Its description in RNAcentral is "partial 16S ribosomal RNA". It matches the Rfam family "Bacterial small subunit ribosomal RNA", at positions 339 to 795 of the family's 1533-position model. The record is from RNAcentral.